This 368-nucleotide long non-coding RNA is filed under the name Elaeis guineensis (African oil palm). RNAcentral's name for it is "long non-coding RNA (EGUI_LNC063087)". Lineage: Eukaryota; Viridiplantae; Streptophyta; Magnoliopsida; Arecales; Arecaceae. The record is from RNAcentral.
CGUAUGGGUAUAAGUGUCUCUCCAACCUAAGAUCACCACGGUGAUUUGUAAGUAACUUAUUGUACUUUGAUAUCAGACUAAUUAAGUUUUUAAUUCAGUGAUGAAAAAUUUUUGGAUACAGUCAAGUACUUGCCAAGUCGGUGCAUGAGUCAAGAUAGGAUUGACCCCUUCGAAUUAGUAAAAGAUAUGCAUCAGUGUAUUUCAAUUUAGUAAAACCUAGGCCCGGGUAAUCCAUGUUAUGGAUUUAAAAAAGAUUAAAAUAUAAUAUGGAUGACUUAUCUAGGAUUGACAAUUAAAUCUUAGAUCAUUCUCGAGCAUUAAGAUCAAAGAGAUGAAUUAUACGGUACCCAUACGCCAAUAGGUUCUUG